AGGAUGAACGCUGGCGGCGUGCCUAACACAUGCAAGUCGAACGUCCUGUCUCGCAAGAGGCAGGGAGUGGCGGACGGGUGAGUAUCACGUGGGUUAUCUACCGUGAGGUGAGGAAUACCGGCGAGAAAUCGCCGACAAGACCGCAUAGCCUCGGUGCAAGCCGAGGAAAGCUUUCUCGAGAGAGGGAGCGCCACACGAGGAGCCUGCGCCCGAUUAGCUAGCUGGUGGAGUAACGGUUCACCAGGGCGACGAUCGGUAGCUGGUCUGAGAGGACGAUCAGCCACACUGGGAUUGAGAACGGCCCAGACUCCUACGGGGGGCAGCAGUGAGGAAUUUUCGUCAAUGGGGCAACCCUGAACGAGCAACGCCGCGUGCAGGAAGAAGGUUUUCGGAUCGUAAACUGCUUUUCUCGGGGAAGAGAACGGACGGUACCCGAGGAAUCAGCCCCGGCUAACUACGUGCCAGCAGCCGCGGUAA
This 477-nucleotide ribosomal RNA is filed under the name uncultured bacterium. RNAcentral's name for it is "SSU rRNA". It matches the Rfam family "Bacterial small subunit ribosomal RNA", at positions 26 to 523 of the family's 1533-position model. The record is from RNAcentral.